RNAcentral lists this ribosomal RNA (427 nucleotides) under uncultured bacterium. RNAcentral describes it as "bacterial SSU rRNA". It matches the Rfam family "Bacterial small subunit ribosomal RNA", at positions 355 to 774 of the family's 1533-position model. The record is from RNAcentral.
UGGGGAAUUUUGGACAAUGGACGCAAGUCUGAUCCAGCCAUGCCGCGUGCGGGAAGAAGGCCUUCGGGUUGUAAACCGCUUUUGUCAGGGAAGAAACGAGUUUCUCUAAUACAGAGACUUAAUGACGGUACCUGAAGAAUAAGCACCGGCUAACUACGUGCCAGCAGCCGCGGUAAUACGUAGGGUGCGAGCGUUAAUCGGAAUUACUGGGCGUAAAGCGUGCGCAGGCGGUUAUGUAAGACAGAUGUGAAAUCCCCGGGCUCAACCUGGGACCUGCAUUUGUGACUGUAUAGCUAGAGUACGGUAGAGGGGGAUGGAAUUCCGCGUGUAGCAGUGAAAUGCGUAGAUAUGCGGAGGAACACCGAUGGCGAAGGCAAUCCCCUGGACCUGUACCGACGCUCAUGCACGAAAGCGUGGGGAGCAAACA